UACAGAGGUCUCAAGCGUUGUUCGGAUUCAUUGGGCGUAAAGGGUGCGUAGGCGGCGCGGUAAGUCGGAUGUGAAAUCUCGGAGCUUAACUUCGAAACUGCAUUCGAUACUGCCGUGCUUGAGGACUGGAGAGGAGACUGGAAUUUACGGUGUAGCGGUGAAAUGCGUAGAUGUCGUAAGGAAGACCAGUGGCGAAGGCGGGUCUCUGGACAGUUCCUGACGCUGAGGCACGAAGGUCAGGGGAGCAAACGGG
Molecule: ribosomal RNA, 253 nt
Filed under: uncultured bacterium
Lineage: Bacteria
Description: partial 16S ribosomal RNA
Rfam family: Bacterial small subunit ribosomal RNA
Source: RNAcentral